Molecule: long non-coding RNA, 1471 nt
Filed under: Eucalyptus grandis
Lineage: Eukaryota; Viridiplantae; Streptophyta; Magnoliopsida; Myrtales; Myrtaceae
Description: long non-coding RNA (EGRA_LNC001423)
Source: RNAcentral
UCGUUGAGACAAAUCCCAAGCUCGAUCGGAAAGUUGACAUCAUUGAUUGAGCUGCAUUUGAAAUCUACGGCCAUUGAAGAGUUGCCUGAAUCCAUUGGUUCUUUGAACAAGCUCAAGACUCUAGAUGUCUCUUAUUGCAAAUCGUUAGCCCACAUACCCAACUCAAUAGGCAAUUCAACAUCUCUGUCUCGCCUAGACCUAACAGAAUGCCAUAAACUUGCUCAACUUCCAGACUCUAUAGGCUCCUUUGUGUCUCUACAGCGGUUGUUAUUGUCGGGAUGCCACUCGUUGAGACAAAUCCCAGACUCAAUCGGAAAGUUGACAUCAUUGAUUGAGAUGCAUUUGAAAUCUACGGCCAUUGAAGAAUUACCUGAAUCCAUUGGUUCUUUGAAGGAGCUCAAGACUUUAGAUGCCUCUUAUUGUGCAUCGUUAGCCCGCAUACCCAACUCAAUAGGCAAUUCAACAUCUCUGUCUUGCCUUGACUUAACAGAAUGCCAUAAACUUGCUCAACUUCCAGACUCUAUAAGCUCCCUCGUGUCUCUACAGCGGUUGUUAUUGUCGGGAUGCCACUCGUUGAGACAAAUCCCAGACUCGAUCAGAAAGUUGACAUCAUUGAUUGAGCUGCAUUUGAAAUUUAAGGACAUUGAAAGAUUACCUAAAUCCAUUAGUUUUUUUAAGGAGCUCAGGAUUCUAGAUGGCUCUAUCAUGCAUCGUUAGCCUAUAGAUCUAUUUCAAUAAGCAAUUCAAGACCUCAUUCCCCAACUCAAUAGGCAAUUUAACAUCUCUGUCUCGGCUUGACCUAUGCUACUGUUAUAAACUUGUUCAACUUCCAGACUCUAUAGGCUCCCUCGUGUCUCUACAACAAUUGUUUUUGUCGAGAUGCUUCUCGUUGAAACAAAUCCCACACUCGAUUGGAAAGUUGACAUCAUUGAUUGAGUUGCAUUUGGAAUUUUCGGCCAUUGAAAAAUUACCUGAAUCCAUUGGUUCUUUGAAUGAGCUCAAGACUCUACAUGUCUUUUACUGCCAAUCGUUAGGUCGCAUACCUAGCUCAAUAGGCAAUUUCACAUCUAUGUCUUCCCUUAACCUAGAUGAAUGCCAUAAACUUGUUCAACUUCCAGACUCUAUAGGCUCAAUUGUGUCUCUACAACAGUUGUUAUUAUCGGGAUGCCACUCGUUGAGACAAAUCCCAGACUCGAUCGGAAAGUUGACGUCAUUGAUUGAGCUGCAUUUGAAAUCUACGGCCAUUGAAGAAUUACCUAAAUCCAUUGGUUCUUUAAAGGAGCUCAAGACUCUAGAUGUCUCUUAUUGCAAAUCGUUAGCCCGCAUACCCAACUCAAUAGGCAAUUCAACAUCUCUGUCUCACUUUGACCUAACAGAAUGCCAUAAACUUGCUCAACUUCCAGACUCUAUAGGCUCCCUGGUGUCUCUACAGCGGUUGUUAUUGUCGGGAUGCCACUCGUUGAGACAAAUC